GGGGAUCUGCCCGAUAGAGGGGGAUAACCACUGGAAACGGUGGCUAAUACCGCAUAACGUCGCAAGACCAAAGAGGGGGACCUUAGGACCUCUCACUAUCGGAUGAACCCAGAUGGGAUUAGCUAGUAGGCGGGGUAACGGCCCACCUAGGCGACGAUCCCUAGCUGGUCUGAGAGGAUGACCAGCCACACUGGAACUGAGACACGGUCCAGACUCCUACGGGAGGCAGCAGUGGGGAAUAUUGCACAAUGGGCGCAAGCCUGAUGCAGCCAUGCCGCGUGUAUGAAGAAGGCCUUCGGGUUGUAAAGUACUUUCAGCGGGGAGGAAGGCGAUGUGGUUAAUAACCGCGUCGAUUGACGUUACCCGCAGAAGAAGCACCGGCUAACUCCGUGCCAGCAGCCGCGGUAAUACGGAGGGUGCAAGCGUUAAUCGGAAUUACUGGGCGUAAAGCGCACGCAGGCGGUCUGUUAAGUCAGAUGUGAAAUCCCCGGGCUUAACCUGGGAACUGCAUUUGAAACUGGCAGGCUUGAGUCUCGUAGAGGGGGGUAGAAUUCCAGGU
This 559-nucleotide ribosomal RNA is filed under the name uncultured bacterium. Its description in RNAcentral is "bacterial SSU rRNA". It matches the Rfam family "Bacterial small subunit ribosomal RNA", at positions 120 to 674 of the family's 1533-position model. The record is from RNAcentral.